CCUUGUAACACCCUAGUCAGGCAUUUAUGACAUCCUAGUCAUACACAAUCAACUAUAUAAUACAUACAGACAACAUAUCUUUGUAAUAAUUGUUCUACUGUAUCUAUCACACCUACAUGUAUAAGGUCUACAUCUAACACCCCAAUCAUGCCCUCAUAGCACCCUAGUCAGGCAUUUGGGAUAUCCUAGUCAUACACAAUCAACUAUACAAUACAUACAGACAUCAUAUCUUUGUAAUAAUUGUUCUAUUGUAUCUAUCACA
This 262-nucleotide long non-coding RNA is filed under the name Mytilus galloprovincialis (Mediterranean mussel). The record is from RNAcentral. Lineage: Eukaryota; Metazoa; Mollusca; Bivalvia; Mytilida; Mytilidae.